CCUACGGGAGGCUGCAGUAGGGAAUAUUGCUCAAUGGGGGAAACCCUGAAGCAGCAACGCCGCGUGGAGGAUGAAGGUUUUCGGAUUGUAAACUCCUUUUGUUAGAGAAGAUAAUGACGAUAUCUAACGAAUAAGCACCGGCUAACUCCUUGCCAGCAGCCGCGGUAAUACUGAGGGUGCAAGCGUUACUCGGAAUCACUGGGCGUAAAGAUCGCGGAGGCGGGAUAGCAAGUCAGAUGUGAAAUCCUAUUGCUUAACCAUAGAACUGCAUUUGAAACUGGUAUUCUAGAGUAUGGGAGAGGUAGGUGGAAUUCUUGGUGUAGGGGUAAAAUGCGUAGAGAUAAAGAGGAAUACUCAUUGCGAAGGCGACCUGCUAGAACAUAACUGACGCUGAUGCGCGAAAGCGUGGGGAGCAAACAGGAUUAGAUACCCCAGUAGUC
This 440-nucleotide ribosomal RNA is filed under the name uncultured bacterium. RNAcentral describes it as "partial 16S ribosomal RNA". It matches the Rfam family "Bacterial small subunit ribosomal RNA", at positions 338 to 795 of the family's 1533-position model. The record is from RNAcentral.